Non-coding RNA from Triticum urartu, 94 nucleotides. The record is from RefSeq and is a predicted model, not a curated record. Lineage: Eukaryota; Viridiplantae; Streptophyta; Magnoliopsida; Poales; Poaceae.
AAGAAAAGGAUCCGGUGCGAUGAGUCUCAUCCGUGUAAUAUUUUGGAAUUCCUCUUCCAACUCGUCCCGGAAUGGGCGUUAUGGCAAAGAACAA